CUCUCUUUAUUCCAGCUGCUUUCCGCCAAGUGGAGGAUUUCUCCCCAGAGUGGUGGCAAUUGAUUACCACUUCAACAUGGUUCCGUGAUUACUGGCUCAGCCAGCACCAGGAGGGGGAUAUUUUUAAUUGUAAUAAUGCUGAUGAUGAAUUUGAUGCCAAUGACAUUGCUGACCUGCUGCCAGAUGCAUUUGACUUUGGCACGGAGGAAGACUUCUCACACAUGGAAGCCCAGUUUGAGGAGUUCAUUCAAUCUUCAGAAGCCGAAGAAGCAAAUAAACCAUCUCACCUUGCUUUGAAUGGAACGUCUGGAAAUGGUAUGGAUGAACUCUUAUUGCCACAGCGCCUGAUUUUUAUUUUCCCAUCCGGCAUUUCAAUUAUUAUAUUUUUCUGGAUUGAUUUUCAUAUCAUAUCAAGUAGUCUCUAAAGGUAUUAAGUUGGGGUUUGAGUUGCAGGUUCAGCUGUGAUGGAUGUGAAUGCACUGAUGAAAUUUACAAAUGAAAGGGGUCCCAAGUCUCUGGCAGAACCAGCAAAGUAUCAGGAGAAAGCAGGCAGGUGCAUGAGCCCAAAAUGCAGCCCUCGGCCCAUCCAGCAGCCCCGCUGAAGGGUGUCAGCUUUGCCAGGGUUCCAGUUA
RNAcentral lists this long non-coding RNA (632 nucleotides) under Vitis vinifera (wine grape). Its description in RNAcentral is "long non-coding RNA (VVIN_LNC002643)". The record is from RNAcentral. Lineage: Eukaryota; Viridiplantae; Streptophyta; Magnoliopsida; Vitales; Vitaceae.